UAACCCGGCGAAAGUCGGACUAAUACCGUAUGAUAUCCUAUGCAGGCAUCUAACUAGGAUUAAAGGUUUAGCGGUAAGGGAUGGGGAUGCGUCUGAUUAGGCAGUUGGCGGGGUAACGGCCCACCAAACCGACGAUCAGUAGGGGUUCUGAGAGGAAGGUCCCCCACAUUGGAACUGAGACACGGUCCAAACUCCUACGGGAGGCAGCAGAG
Molecule: ribosomal RNA, 212 nt
Filed under: uncultured Prevotella sp.
Lineage: Bacteria; Pseudomonadati; Bacteroidota; Bacteroidia; Bacteroidales; Prevotellaceae
Description: partial 16S ribosomal RNA
Rfam family: Bacterial small subunit ribosomal RNA
Source: RNAcentral